RNAcentral lists this ribosomal RNA (253 nucleotides) under uncultured bacterium. RNAcentral's name for it is "partial 16S ribosomal RNA". It matches the Rfam family "Bacterial small subunit ribosomal RNA", at positions 524 to 776 of the family's 1533-position model. The record is from RNAcentral.
UACAGGGGUCUCAAGCGUUGUUCGGAUUCACUGGGCGUAAAGGGCGUGUAGGCGGCGCCGCAAGUCGGGUGUGAAAUUUCGGAGCUUAACUCCGAAACUGCAUUCGAUACUGCGGUGCUUGAGGACUGGAGAGGAGACUGGAAUUCAUGGUGUAGCAGUGAAAUGCGUAGAGAUCAUGAGGAAGACCAGUGGCGAAGGCGGGUCUCUGGACAGUAACUGACGCUGGGGAGCGAAAGCGUGGGGAGCGAACAGG